Non-coding RNA from Gasterosteus aculeatus aculeatus (three-spined stickleback), 899 nucleotides. Lineage: Eukaryota; Metazoa; Chordata; Actinopteri; Perciformes; Gasterosteidae. The record is from RefSeq and is a predicted model, not a curated record.
AACUCUUAUUGGCUGUGAAGUGCCACGUUGUCACGCCAGACGGACCGCUGCUCAACGCGAAAGCAAACGAGGGGAGCCCGAGUCCCGCCGAGGAGGUCUGACAGGGACCCGCACACACACGUCUUCAUUCUUAGCACUUUACCUGACAUGGAGAGCCAGACAGCUAGGGAGGUAGAAAGGCAGGUAGACAGCUAAGGAGGUAGAAAGGCCGGUAGACAGCUAGCGAAGCAGACAGACAAGAAGACAGCUAGGGAGGUAGAAAGGCCGGUAGACAGCUAGCGAAGCAGACAGACAAGAAGACAGCUAGGGAGGUAGAAAGGCAGGUAGACAGCUAGGGAGGCAGACAGACACAAAGACGGCUAGGGAGGCAGACAGACAAGAAGACAGCUAGGGAGGGAGAAAGGCAGGUAGACAGCUAGGGAGGCAGACAGACACAAAGACAGCUAUGGAGGUAGACAGAGAAGAAGACAGCUGCUAGGGAGGUAGACAGACAAGAAGACAGCUGCUGGGGAGGUAGACAGACAAGAAGACAGCUGCUGGGGAGGUAGACAGACAAGAAGACAGCUGCUGGGGAGGUAGACAGACAAGAAGACAGCUGCUGGGGAGGUAGACAGACAAGGAGACAGCUGCUGGGGAGGUAGACAGACAAGGAGACAGCUGCUGGGGAGGUAGACAGACAAGAAGACAGCUCGGGAGGUAGACAGACAAGAAGACAGCUAGGGAGGUAGACAGACAAUAAGACAGCUCGGGAGGUAGACAGACAAUAAGACAGCUAGGGAGGUAGAAAGACAGGUAGACAGCUAGCAAAGCAGACAGACAAGAAGACAGCUAGUGAGGCAGACAGACAAGAAGACAGCUAGGGAGGCAGACAGACCACAAGACCGCUAGGGAGGCAGACA